CAGCGGCCGCGACAGCUGCAGCAGCAGCGGCGGUUCUUCUCAGUGCCCUUGCCCUGCUCUGGACGGCCGUGGAUACUGCCUGUGGUGUCGCUCCUGCAAGGUGGCGUCUACGCCGCUGCUCGGGUGACCGGCUUGAUUUUUUCCUGGAGGCGACAGCAGCAGGGCUCUGGUCCGGUGUGGUGGCGUGAGGCCGGGAUCUCCCUCUCUCAGGCGCUCCGGGUCUCAUAGGCCCCAGAAGGCGGCGAGUCGAAGCCGCGCUGCUCUCCCUGACUCGCGGGCAUCAGCCCGGGGGAAGCCGAACUCAGGCGGCCAGCCCGUGGAUGCCGACGGUGCACCUUUCAAGCGGGGUUCCUGCAGCCGUGAUGGAUGGAUCGAACGCCCACCCUCUCCGACCCCGUCCCGGGGGCGGCCGGACCCUAUAUCUGUCUGUGUUAUUUCUACGAAGACCACAGUCCUAGGAGGUGAAGGCUCCCAGCCUAGCUGAGUUGGAAUCGUGAUCGUGGUGGUGGUGCAUUAAUUCUGGAAAUAUGCGGGUGCUGCUGGACUUGCCUCUUUUUCCCCCUUUUGGCGAUGGUUUUGAUGCCUCCCUGGUAGUCGGGAUAAGGCCUGUAGGCGACGCUGUGCGAGCGAGGAGCGGGUAGCUCUGGCGCUGCGAUCUAGGUUGUGGGUGGAGCCCAGGCCAUCCGGACGCCGGACACCAGAGCUCGGAGACCGGCGCACUUCAAAACGUCGUUUUCUUCUUUAUGUUUGAAAACUCAGAGGCUCUGGACAAGGCUGGAGUACAAAAUGUGAACACGCACAGAGUACCGUGCCCGUUCGUAGUGUCUUACUGUAAAACAGGAGGUCAUUUCAUCGCCACACUGUUCUCUCUCUCUCUCUCUCUCUCUCUCU
Molecule: long non-coding RNA, 891 nt
Filed under: Rattus norvegicus (Norway rat)
Lineage: Eukaryota; Metazoa; Chordata; Mammalia; Rodentia; Muridae
Description: long non-coding RNA NONRATT015092
Source: RNAcentral